RNAcentral lists this small nuclear RNA (133 nucleotides) under Rhinolophus ferrumequinum (greater horseshoe bat). RNAcentral describes it as "U4 spliceosomal RNA (ENSRFEG00010005275.1)". The stretch from base 1 to 83 matches the Rfam family "U4 spliceosomal RNA". From Rfam's summary of the family: U4 small nuclear RNA (U4 snRNA) is a component of the major U2-dependent spliceosome. The structure of U4 snRNA from yeast and human has been reported. U4 snRNA presents a k-turn RNA motif in the 5p-SL related to recognition of Snu13 protein. Lineage: Eukaryota; Metazoa; Chordata; Mammalia; Chiroptera; Rhinolophidae. The record is from Rfam by way of RNAcentral.
AGCUUUGUGCAGUGGCAGUAUCGUAGCCAAUGAGGUUUAUCCGAGGCGCGAUUAUUGCUAAUUGAAAAGUUUAAUCAUAUAUUUAGCAUACAACUCAGUGACUGGGUUCUCCUAGUGACUCAGUGAUUCCACU